This 514-nucleotide ribosomal RNA is filed under the name uncultured bacterium. Its description in RNAcentral is "partial 16S ribosomal RNA". It matches the Rfam family "Bacterial small subunit ribosomal RNA", at positions 28 to 523 of the family's 1533-position model. The record is from RNAcentral.
GAUGAACGCUGGCGGCGUGCCUAAUACAUGCAAGUCGAGCGAACUGAUUAGAAGCUUGCUUCUAUGACGUUAGCGGCGGACGGGUGAGUAACACGUGGGCAACCUGCCUGUAAGACUGGGAUAACUUCGGGAAACCGAAGCUAAUACCGGAUAGGGUCCUCUCCUUCAUGGGAGAUGAUUGAAAGAUGGUUUCGGCUAUCACUUACAGAUGGGCCCGCGGUGCAUUAGCUAGUUGGCGAGGUAACGGCUCACCAAGGCAACGAUGCAUAGCCGACCUGAGAGGGUGAUCGGCCACACUGGGACUGAGACACGGCCCAGACUCCUACGGGAGGCAGCAGUAGGGAAUCUUCCGCAAUGGACGAAAGUCUGACGGAGCAACGCCGCGUGAGUGAUGAAGGCUUUCGGGUCGUAAAACUCUGUUGUUAGGGAAGAACAAGUACAAGAGUAACUGCUUGUACCUUGACGGUACCUAACCAGAAAGCCACGGCUAACUACGUGCCAGCCGCCGCCGUAA